This 299-nucleotide long non-coding RNA is filed under the name Elaeis guineensis (African oil palm). RNAcentral's name for it is "long non-coding RNA (EGUI_LNC058067)". Lineage: Eukaryota; Viridiplantae; Streptophyta; Magnoliopsida; Arecales; Arecaceae. The record is from RNAcentral.
CAAAAUUGAUACUUUUUGAUAAUUUUAUAACAUCCUAGAUCAAAAUUCUGAUAUUUUAUAUUAAAAUUAUGAUAUCCUGUAGCUAAAAUAUCUCUUAAAGAUAGUUUUGAUAAUAUUAUUGUAGGGAUUUGGAUGCGCAGCGAAAUUGAAAUUUAAAAAUUUUUAACAUGCAACUAUAAUAGAAAAUAUGUGAUCUAAACUCCAAUCCCAAAAUCAUCUUGAUGCAUUCAAUCAAACAAGAACAUAAAUCACAUAGCAUAUAUAUAAAAGAGAGAUUGGAAAUGUUAUACCAAACAGAA